AUUGAACGCUGGCGGCAUGCCUUACACAUGCAAGUCGAACGGCAGCACGGGUGCUUGCCCCUGGUGGCGAGUGGCGAACGGGUGAGUAAUACAUCGGAACAUGUCCUGUAGUGGGGGAUAGCACGGCGAAAGCCGGAUUAAUACCGCAUACGAUCUACGGAUGAAAGCGGGGGACCUUCGGGCCUCGCGCUAUAGGGUUGGCCGAUGGCUGAUUAGCUAGUUGGUGGGGUAAAGGCCUACCAAGGCGACGAUCAGUAGCUGGUCUGAGAGGACGACCAGCCACACUGGGACUGAGACACGGCCCAGACUCCUACGGGAGGCAGCAGUGGGGAAUUUUGGACAAUGGGCGAAAGCCUGAUCCAGCAAUGCCGCGUGUGUGAAGAAGGCCUUCGGGUUGUAAAGCACUUUUGUCCGGAAAGAAAUCCUUGGCCCUAAUACGGUCGGGGGAUGACGGUACCGGAAGAAUAAGCACCGGCUAACUACGUG
This 486-nucleotide ribosomal RNA is filed under the name uncultured bacterium. RNAcentral describes it as "partial 16S ribosomal RNA". It matches the Rfam family "Bacterial small subunit ribosomal RNA", at positions 30 to 507 of the family's 1533-position model. The record is from RNAcentral.